Oncorhynchus tshawytscha (Chinook salmon) is the source of this 310-nucleotide long non-coding RNA. Lineage: Eukaryota; Metazoa; Chordata; Actinopteri; Salmoniformes; Salmonidae. The record is from Ensembl.
GGGGGUACCGGUACAGAGUCAAUGUGGAGGCUAUAUACAGGGGGUACCGGUACAGAGUCAAUGUGGAGGCUAUAUACUGGGGGUACCGGUACAGAGUCAAUGUGGAGGCUAUAUACAGGGGGUACCGGUACAGAGUCAAUGUGGAGGCUAUAUACAGGGGGUACCGGUACAGAGUCAAUGUGGAGGCUAUAUACAGGGGGUACCAGUACAGAGUCAAUGUGGAGGCUAUAUACAGGGGGUACCGGUACAGAGUCAAUGUGGAGGCUAUAUACAGGGUAUUACGGUACAGAGUCAAUGUGGAGGCUAUAUA